RNAcentral lists this transfer RNA (75 nucleotides) under Podarcis lilfordi (Lilford's wall lizard). RNAcentral describes it as "tRNA.Lys". Lineage: Eukaryota; Metazoa; Chordata; Lepidosauria; Squamata; Lacertidae. The record is from RNAcentral.
UUCUGGAUAGCUCAAUCAGUAAAGCAUGAGACACUUAAUCUCAGGGCCAUGGGUUUGAGCUCCACACUGGGCAAA